Long non-coding RNA from Triticum dicoccoides, 1935 nucleotides. RefSeq lists it as uncharacterized. NCBI's taxonomy places the organism in Eukaryota, Viridiplantae, Streptophyta, Magnoliopsida, Poales, Poaceae. The transcript is spliced from 12 exons. The record is from RefSeq and is a predicted model, not a curated record.
CGCCUCCCUCCCGCACUCGCCCCUCCCCCGCGGCCAGCUCCUCCCGCCUCGCCUCUCUCCCUCUCCCUCCAAACCCUAGAACCUCACCCGCGCCUCCCAGCCCUGCCGCCGUCCAGGUCUAGCCCCAUGCCGCCGUCGUCUUCUCGCCCAGCCGGCCGCCACCGCACCGCACGCUCGUGCGCAGGGGUGAGAAGGGGAACUACUGCCCGCUCCUGGAGCGCGAGGAGGACGUGGUGAUGCGGCGCCCAGAUCCACGGUGACAUCGACGCGCCAUCAUCGACCUGAGCCGCCACCGUCCUCGAGGUCGGUCAUGGAGGGGGGUCCGACCCAGCUGCAGCCGUUGACGGAGACACCCCAAACCCUAGCACGGGGACCGAGCCGCCAUGGAAGGAGGCCAGCGGCGAGGACGACGCCAUGGUCCCUGCUGUGCUCCCGGAUCCGUCGCCCAUCUGCCCCGAUCUGGCCCUUCUCCUUCCCGCCGGCCAAGCGGAGCCGCUCGUGUCGCUGCUCUACCUGACGAGGGCAUCGUGCUGAGGAAAGGAGAAGAGAAGGACAGCCUGAGAUUCCAAUCCGAAUUAAUUUGACUUUAGAAUGAGACCCUGGAAAAUGAAUGGCUUCAAUGGUGGGUGCAUGUAUGGUCAGGGGAUUGUUUGGUCCAUGCAUGGAAGUGGACUGAUUAGCCCCAUUAUGAGAAGGCUGUGAGACUUUUCAAUGAUCCAGAUGUUGCACAUCCUGGGAGAAUAUUGAUGGCUAGGGUUGAUUGUGCAUCAGAGGACAGGUUGUGUGCUUAGGGAGGCGGCAAGGCCCAAGGAAUCUUGCGCAUAAAACAAUAUAAUGACCAAGAAGAGCAUGUGAGGGACCAGUAGGUGUUUAUCCCGAGUGAUUUCAGUGUUUGUCAAGUCUCAUUAAGCUUGCCACCUUGCUUUUUCUCGAGCACAUAGCAACUGAAGAAGAGAUGAAGGCAACUGAACAACGUGCUCGCAAAGUGAAGGGUUCUUGCAAGAAGAAAGAAUCGUUGUCAUCUUAUUUUCAUGAUGGCAUGGUGUCUCGACAUGUGAUGGAUUCACUCACACGGAGGAAGCUUUUCUCCGCUACUCCGGCGACAAGCGCACAAGCUUUUGGGUCCAUGGCGCCACCGGUAAACAAGAACAACUCUGGGUGCUUGAUUGUGUCUCUGGAGUCUGGAUAAGUGAAAAUAGAUGGCAGCGAAGUUGAACUGGUUUUGCAAACACUAGCAAGUAUUUCUUCAUCGCUUCCAUCGUGCAAGUUGCGCUAGCAUUGCGGGCAUUUUUCUUCAUAUUUGUGAAGAGGGGAUGAGGUUGAAAAAUGAAGCUGGUGAUGAAAAGAAUGGAGGGCACCCGCAAAGUGAUGACGAGGAAGGAGCCCUGCAGGAGACAGCUUUCAGAGCUUGAAGAAGAUGGUCUCACAUCCACGUUGAUCUAUGAAAAUAGCAAGCGACGGCGGCGAUGGACUGGUCACCCCGCAACACCAUUCUUCCUUCACGGUAACUAGCCACGGCAAGUGCUUCUGUCAUUUCUUUCGUGUUGAGAAGGCAGAGUCAAGGGCGCGAACAUGAGGUAUUCUGUGACUUUCUUCGGAGAGGCACAAAAGUGCAAAGGUCGUGAUGUGUAACGAUUUAAUCAAGGAGACAACCCAGUCGAGCUAUCAAGUAUUAGGCUACCUAACUAAGAAGUUUUAUUAUCUCGCAUUGCAUCUUGCUUGAUCAACACAUGCCAUGACCUGGUUAUUGUAUUUGUUAUAUUACAAUGGAUAGUCUUGGCUUGCUUUUGGACUAAAGCCUUUUGGUCUAUGUAUAGCUUGAUUUUGGACUUUAGCCUUUUGUUGUUUCGUGAACCAAUUGCUAUGUGCUGAAUGUGUCUGUAUCGAUGCAAUGAUUCUGAUAUAAAAUUAAUAUACUCCCUCUGUUUCUUUUUA